UCUUCAUCCAUUUCUUAGUUGGUGGAUGCACAUCAGCCAUUGGAUGGCUGUUGGUGGCUGUGGGUGCCCUGUGGUUCUUUAUGUGAUGUCUGUGUCUCUCCGUCAGCUCUCCUACUUGGGUGCCAGCAGCUGAGAGUGGUUUAUCCUUUCAGUACACUCCAUUGUUUUUAUAUAUUCAUGGCAGAGGAUGCAGCCAAGGUUACAAAGGUCAGCUUUGGAGGUCGCUGCUGCUGCUACUGCUAAGUCACUUCAGUCAUGUCUGACUCUGUGCGACCCCAUAGACGGCAGCCCACCAGGCAGAUGCUAGCAAAUAAUAUUUUUGCAUAGCUACUCAUCAUCAUAAUGAAAGUUAUUUUUCUCUUACCAGAGUUAUUUUUCAACAAUCAAAUGAAAGAACACAUCUAGCAUUGUGGCCAGUUUACUCUUUUAUCCAUGUUACUUUGCUGCCUGAGUCAUUGCACAUUGUUUAUCCAGAACUCACAGCUUUUAUAUGCUGUUCUGCAAAUAAUGAUGGACUGUGUCAUAUUUGGGAGAAAUGUAUUAGUUGUAAACUGAAUUAUUUAGGGGGUUAAAAAACAAUUUAGACAACUUUUAAUUGAAGAAUUUAGGAUUAAGGCUUAUGAUCAUAUUAUGACUUGUGGCAGUGUACAGUUUUGUGCAAUGUCAUUUUGACAGGUGAAGACAGAAAAUGAAAGCAUUAUCUACAACCAUAUUUCUUCAGUGUGAUAAGUUCCUAGGGCAUUCAAGGAUUAUUACUAUUUUUUAAAUGUGCUUGCCGCUUGCCAUUCUGCUACCGAAAACAAGCUAGUCAGAGGAGGCUAAAUGUUAGAGGACAUCUCUGGGAACUCUCAUUUGGAAUCACUUGUGACAAAGCAUUCUUGACUUCUUUUUUACUACUUCCUUCUCUGCUUUCCAACCAAACCAAUUUCUGUUGAAAGAGCUGGACUAUUUUUUUCAAACCAGAUAUACUUCUUACUGCCAAAUGUAUAGUGGAAAAAUUAAAUUAGGCUGGUAAUUUAUCUUAAUCAUUCAAGAACAUCUAGCUAUUAAUGGAAGUCAGUGC
This is a long non-coding RNA of Bos taurus (domestic cattle), 1063 nucleotides long. The record is from Ensembl. Lineage: Eukaryota; Metazoa; Chordata; Mammalia; Artiodactyla; Bovidae.